This 77-nucleotide transfer RNA is filed under the name Deltaproteobacteria bacterium RBG_13_51_10. RNAcentral describes it as "tRNA-Val". It matches the Rfam family "tRNA". Rfam says of the family: Transfer RNA (tRNA) molecules are approximately 80 nucleotides in length. Their secondary structure includes four short double-helical elements and three loops (D, anti-codon, and T loops). Further hydrogen bonds mediate the characteristic L-shaped molecular structure. tRNAs have two regions of fundamental functional importance: the anti-codon, which is responsible for specific mRNA codon recognition, and the 3' end, to which the tRNAs corresponding amino acid is attached (by aminoacyl-tRNA synthetases). tRNAs cope with the degeneracy of the genetic code in two manners: having more than one tRNA (with a specific anti-codon) for a particular amino acid; and 'wobble' base-pairing, i.e. permitting non-standard base-pairing at the 3rd anti-codon position. The record is from RNAcentral. Lineage: Bacteria; Deltaproteobacteria.
GGGCGGAUAGCUCAGUUGGGUAGAGCGCCCGCCUUACACGCGGGAGGUCACAGGUUCAAUUCCUGUUCCGCCUACCG